AACGAACGCUGGCGGCGUGUCUUAAGCAUGCAAGUCGAGCGGCAAGCAGUAGCAAUACUGCCUAGAGCGGCGGACUGGUGAGUAACGCGUGGGUGAUCUGCCCUUGGGAUGGGGAUAGCCGUUAGAAAUAGCGGGUAAUACCGAAUACGUUCGUCGGACUACGGUCCGAUGAAGAAAGGCGCUUUGGCGCCACCCGAGGAUGAGCCUGCGUCUCAUUAGCUAGUUGGUGGGGUAAAAGCCUACCAAGGCGAUGAUGAGUAGCCGGCCUGAGAGGGUGUACGGCCACACUGGGACUGAGAUACGGCCCAGACUCCUACGGGAGGCAGCAGCUAAGAAUAUUCCGCAAUGGACGAAAGUCUGACGGAGCGACGCCGCGUGGAUGAUGAAGGCCGUGAGGUUGUAAAAUCCUUUUGCUGGGGAAGAAUAACCAUGGGAGGGAAUGCCCGUGGGAUGACAUGAACCGGCGAAUAAGCCCCGGCUAACCUACGUGCC
RNAcentral lists this ribosomal RNA (492 nucleotides) under uncultured bacterium. RNAcentral's name for it is "bacterial SSU rRNA". It matches the Rfam family "Bacterial small subunit ribosomal RNA", at positions 29 to 509 of the family's 1533-position model. The record is from RNAcentral.